Molecule: ribosomal RNA, 749 nt
Filed under: unidentified microorganism
Description: bacterial SSU rRNA
Rfam family: Bacterial small subunit ribosomal RNA
Source: RNAcentral
ACAUGCAGCCGAGCGGUAUUUCUUCUUCGGAAGAGAGAGAGCGGCGUACGGGUGCGUAACACGUGUGCAACCUACCUUUAUCUGGGGAAUAGCCUUUCGAAAGGAAGAUUAAUACCCUAUAAUAUAUUGAAUGGCAUCAUUUAAUAUUGAAAACUCCGGUGGAUAGAGAUGGGCACGCGCAAGAUUAGAUAGUUGGUGAGGUAACGGCUCACCAAGUCAAUGAUCUUUAGGGGUCCUGAGAGGGAGAUCCCCCACACUGGUACUGAGACACGGACCAGACUCCUACGGGAGGCAGCAGUGAGGAAUAUUGGACAAUGGGUGAAAGCCUGAUCCAGCCAUCCCGCGUGAAGGAUGACGGUCCUAUGGAUUGUAAACUUCUUUUGUACAGGAAUAAACCUACUCUCGUGAGAGUAGCUGAAGGUACUGUACGAAUAAGCACCGGCUAACUCCGUGCCAGCAGCCGCGGUAAUACGGAGGGUGCAAGCGUUAUCCGGAUUUAUUGGGUUUAAAGGGUCCGUAGGCGGACCCGUAAGUCAGUGGUGAAAUCUCAUAGCUCAACUAUGAAACUGCCAUUGAUACUGCGGGUCUUGAGUAAAUUUGAAGUGGCUGGAAUAAGUAGUGUAGCGGUGAAAUGCAUAGAUAUUACUUAGAACACCAAUUGCGAAGGCAGGUCACUAAGAUUUAACUGACGCUGAGGGACGAAAGCGUGGGUAGCGAACAGGAUUAGAUACCCUGGUAGUCCACGCCGU